Nomascus leucogenys (northern white-cheeked gibbon) is the source of this 104-nucleotide small nuclear RNA. Lineage: Eukaryota; Metazoa; Chordata; Mammalia; Primates; Hylobatidae. The record is from Ensembl.
UUGCUUCCACAGCACAUAUACUGAAAAUUAGAACAAUACAGAGAAAAUUAGCAUGGCCUCUGCACCAGGAUGACAUGCAAAUUCCUGAAGUGUUCCAUUAAAAU